RNAcentral lists this ribosomal RNA (2187 nucleotides) under Trachelomonas sp. Jilnal030207BT. RNAcentral's name for it is "SSU rRNA". It matches the Rfam family "Eukaryotic small subunit ribosomal RNA". The record is from RNAcentral. Lineage: Eukaryota; Euglenozoa; Euglenophyceae; Euglenales; Euglenaceae.
UCGUAUGCUUUGUUCAAGGGCUAAGCCAUGCAUGUCUGAGAGCAAACGGUUCAACAGUGGGUCUGUGAAUGGCUCCUUACAUCAGCAGUCAUCUCUGUGAUAGAGUGUGGAUGGCGACAGCUCCAGUCGCCCAUUUGGACAUCCUCCAAAACCUGGUGGCUAAUACACGCAAGGAACAGUCUGCCAUGCUUGUGGCGCUCCCUAGCUCCCUCGGGUUGCAGGGUGUGAGCACGUGGUGGAUUGCAACCAGCUGAGUGCAAGACCAGCGCCAGUCAAUGGCAGUGUGGCAGCUGAAUCAGGCUGGUCCCCAGUGGACAUCUGCUCUGGAGGUCUAGUGCUUUGAGCACUGCCCCUUGAUCACACGAACUUCUGACCUAUCAGCUUUGACUGUGGUGUAGUGGACCACAGUGGCUUUCACAGGUGACGGAGAAUUUGGGUUCGAUUCCGGAGAGGGAGCCUGAGAGACGGCUACCACUACCAAGGUGGGCAGCAGGCGCGCAAAUUGCCCAAUACAGGAUCAUCUUGUGAGGCAGCGACGAACUGCAGCAAUCCUGCUGGCAUCCUUGCCAGCAGGACUUGGAAUGGAUGCUAUCCAAACACAGUGAUGAGUAACGACUGGAGGGCAAGUCUGGUGCCAGCAGCUGCGGUAAUUCCAGCUCCAAGGGCGUACACUAAUAUUGCUGCUGUUAAAGCACUUGUAGUCGGCUACUGGGCUGCAGGUCUGCUGGGUGGCUGGUGGCCUGAGGUGUCGUCUGCGUGCCCUCGGGCAUGACGGGGCUCCGAGGGCUGCUGGAACACAACCCCUGGCGGUAUGUCCCUGCUCCCGCAUUCUCGAUGGUGAGAACCUAUGCUCCUGCACAAAGACUCCUUCAGUGGGGUCCAAGGCGGUUUCACAGCUGAGGCAUGUCUGGGCGUCAAGGGUGACUGUUCCCCGUGAGCAGCCCCUGCCCACCACCGGAGUCCACCAUCAGUGUCACCCUGGAUAACUCAGUGUGCUUCAAGCGUCCAGUCUUGGCUGGAUGCUCAUCCAUGGAAUGGCAAAGCAUCGACCGAAUGUGGCAUCAGAGUUGUGCUGGCCUUGGCGCCUGUUCUGGACAAUGUGGGGCUGUCCCCUGGCUCUGCUGAGACGCCUCGGCCUCGGCCUUGGUGGGUAUAUGCAGUGUCAGUCAGGGCAGUUUCCGACCGCAGAUGAUGGGAAUGCUCAGGGUGAAACCUAUUGCAACGCCAGAGGUGAAAUUCUUAGACCGCUGCAAGAGGGACAGCAGCGAAGGCGUUCUGCAAGUCCAUGUUCGUCGAUCAAGAAUGAGAGUGUGGGGAGCGAAGAUGAUCAGACACCGUCGUAGUCCACGACUGUAAACUAUGCCAGCUCAGUCUUGGUGAGGCAAGUAUCCGGACCUCAUCAGGGCUAUGCCCCCUUCAACGAGAAAUCCAAGCCUUUGGGUUCAGGGGGGAGUACUGUCGCAAGGCUGGAACUUAAAGGAAUUGACGGAAUGGCACCACAAGGCGUGGAGUAUGCGGCUUAAUUUGACUCAACACGGGGAAUGUUACCAGGUCAGGACCUUGCCUGGAUGGACAGAUUGACAGCUCUUUCUUGAUUCUUGGGAUGGUGGUGCAUGGCCGCUCCUGAUUGGUGGAGUGAUUUGUCUGGUUGAUUCCGAUAACGAGUGAGAUAUCUGCCUUCCAAUAGCCCCAGGCUCGCAUCUGUAGGGUGGCGCCCCAGCCAAGCCCCUGGCACGCCCUCGGGCGGCGUCAGACGGCCGCUGUGGGCCCCCCGAGAGCCCUGGGUCAUCAGCUUCUCUGAGGUGCUGUGUACGCUGCCAAGUGCACGCAUGCUAGAGCCAACAGCAGGUCUGUGAUGCUCCCAGAUGUCCUGGGCCGCACGCGCACUACAUUGCUUCAGUGAAGGUGUUAUGCUCCCUUGUGGAGCCCUGCCCAGAAGUGGGUGGGAAACCAUUCAAGCCUGAUGCGUACUGGGGAUAGAUGAUUGCAACUGUCUGCCUUGAACGAGGAAUGCCUAGUAUGCGUGUGUCAUCAGCACACACAGAUUGUGUCCCUGCCAUUUGUACACACCGCCCGUCGUUGCUACCGAUGAGAGCAUGAUAGAGCCAUCAGGAGGCCUUUGGUCCGUUGCUCCGGCAACCCAUGCCGAAAUUGGGCGAUGUCCAGCUCUUAGAGGAAGCAAAAGUC